CGGCGGACGGGCGAGUAACACGUGGAUAACCUACCUAUAAGACUGGGAUAACUUCGGGAAACCGGAGCUAAUACCGGAUAAUAUAUUGAACCGCAUGGUUCAAUAGUGAAAGACGGUUUUGCUGUCACUUAUAGAUGGAUCCGCGCCGCAUUAGCUAGUUGGUAAGGUAACGGCUUACCAAGGCAACGAUGCGUAGCCGACCUGAGAGGGUGAUCGGCCACACUGGAACUGAGACACGGUCCAGACUCCUACGGGAGGCAGCAGGU
RNAcentral lists this ribosomal RNA (266 nucleotides) under uncultured Staphylococcus sp. RNAcentral's name for it is "partial 16S ribosomal RNA". It matches the Rfam family "Bacterial small subunit ribosomal RNA", at positions 96 to 354 of the family's 1533-position model. The record is from RNAcentral. Lineage: Bacteria; Bacillati; Bacillota; Bacilli; Caryophanales; Staphylococcaceae.